Molecule: ribosomal RNA, 482 nt
Filed under: uncultured bacterium
Lineage: Bacteria
Description: partial 16S ribosomal RNA
Rfam family: Bacterial small subunit ribosomal RNA
Source: RNAcentral
AUUGAACGCUGGCGGCAUGCCUUACACAUGCAAGUCGAACGGUAACAGGUCUUCGGAUGCUGACGAGUGGCGAACGGGUGCGUAAUACAUCGGAACGUGCCCAGACGUGGGGGAUAACGAGGCGAAAGCUUUGCUAAUACCGCAUACGAUCUAAGGCUGAAAGCAGGGGACCGCAAGGCCUUGUGCGUUUGGAGCGGCCGAUGGCAGAUUAGGUAGUUGGUGGGAUAAAAGCUUACCAAGCCGACGAUCUGUAGCUGGUCUGAGAGGACGACCAGCCACACUGGGACUGAGACACGGCCCAGACUCCUACGGGAGGCAGCAGUGGGGAAUUUUGGACAAUGGGCGAAAGCCUGAUCCAGCAAUGCCGCGUGCAGGAUGAAGGCCUUCGGGUUGUAAACUGCUUUUGUACGGAACGAAAAGGCUCUGGCUAAUACCUGGGGCACAUGACGGUACCGUAAGAAUAAGCACCGGCUAACUACGUG